ACCUAGUGUUAGUGUUGUGCU
This 21-nucleotide microRNA is filed under the name human gammaherpesvirus 4 (Epstein-Barr virus). RNAcentral describes it as "ebv-miR-BART3-5p". Its record names the gene ebv-miR-BART3-5p. The record is from miRBase by way of RNAcentral. Lineage: Duplodnaviria; Heunggongvirae; Peploviricota; Herviviricetes; Herpesvirales; Orthoherpesviridae.